Molecule: ribosomal RNA, 497 nt
Filed under: uncultured bacterium
Lineage: Bacteria
Description: partial 16S ribosomal RNA
Rfam family: Bacterial small subunit ribosomal RNA
Source: RNAcentral
GAUGAACGCUGGCGGCGUGCCUAAUACAUGCAAGUCGAGCGAACAGACGAGGAGCUUGCUCCUCUGACGUUGGCGGCGGACGGGUGAGUAACACGUGGAUAACCUACCUAUAAGACUGGGAUAACUUCGGGAAACCGGAGCUAAUACCGGAUAAUAUAUUGAACCGCAUGGUUCAAUAGUGAAAGACGGUUUUGCUGUCACUUAUAGAUGGAUCCGCGCCGCAUUAGCUAGUUGGUAAGGUAACGGCUUACCAAGGCAACGAUGCGUAGCCGACCUGAGAGGGUGAUCGGCCACACUGGAACUGAGACACGGUCCAGACUCCUACGGGAGGCAGCAGUAGGGAAUCUUCCGCAAUGGGCGAAAGCCUGACUGAGCAACGCCGCGUGAGUGAUGAAGGUCUUCGGAUCGUAAAACUCUGUUAUUAGGGAAGAACAAAUGUGUAAGUAACUAUGCACGUCUUGACGGUACCUAAUCAGAAAGCCACGGCUAACUACGUG